ACAAAUGCCCUGCUUCCAGGAAAAGCCUCUAAGCAUCAGGUAACAUCAAAUCGUACCCCAAACCGACACAGGUGGUCAGGUAGAGAAUACCAAGGCGCUUGAGAGAACUCGGGUGAAGGAACUAGGCAAAAUGGUGCCGUAACUUCGGGAGAAGGCACGCUGAUAUGUAGGUGAAGCGACUAGCUCGUGGAGCUGAAAUCAGUCGAAGAUACCAGCUGGCUGCAACUGUUUAUUAAAAACACAGCACUGUGCAAACACGAAAGUGGACGUAUACGGUGUGACGCCUGCCCGGUGCCGGAAGGUUAAUUGAUGGGGUUAGCGGUAACGCGAAGCUCUUGAUCGAAGCCCCGGUAAACGGCGGCCGUAACUAUAACGGUCCUAAGGUAGCGAAAUUCCUUGUCGGGUAAGUUCCGACCUGCACGAAUGGCGUAAUGAUGGCCAGGCUGUCUCCACCCGAGACUCAGUGAAAUUGAACUCGCUGUGAAGAUGCAGUGUACCCGCGGCAAGACGGAAAGACCCCGUGAACCUUUACUAUAGCUUGACACUGAACAUUGAGCCUUGAUGUGUAGGAUAGGUGGGAGGCUUUGAAGUGUGGACGCCAGUCUGCAUGGAGCCGACCUUGAAAUACCACCCUUUAAUGUUUGAUGUUCUAACGUUGGCCCGUAAUCCGGGUUGCGGACAGUGUCUGGUGGGUAGUUUGACUGGGGCGGUCUCCUCCUAAAGAGUAACGGAGGAGCACGAAGGUUGGCUAAUCCUGGUCGGACAUCAGGAGGUUAGUGCAAUGGCAUAAGCCAGCUUGACUGCGAGCGUGACGGCGCGAGCAGGUGCGAAAGCAGGUCAUAGUGAUCCGGUGGUUCUGAAUGGAAGGGCCAUCGCUCAACGGAUAAAAGGUACUCCGGGGAUAACAGGCUGAUACCGCCCAAGAGUUCAUAUCGACGGCGGUGUUUGGCACCUCGAUGUCGGCUCAUCACAUCCUGGGGCUGAAGUAGGUCCCAAGGGUAUGGCUGUUCGCCAUUUAAAGUGGUACGCGAGCUGGGUUUAGAACGUCGUGAGACAGUUCGGUCCCUAUCUGCCGUGGGCGCUGGAGAACUGAGGGGGGCUGCUCCUAGUACGAGAGGACCGGAGUGGACGCAUCACUGGUGUUCGGGUUGUCAUGCCAAUGGCACUGCCCGGUAGCUAAAUGCGGAAGAGAUAAGUGCUGAAAGCAUCUAAGCACGAAACUUGCCCCGAGAUGAGUUCUCCCUGACUCCUUGAGAGUCCUGAAGGAACGUUGAAGACGACGACGUUGAUAGGCCGGGUGUGUAAGCGCAGCGAUGCGUUGAGCUAACCGGUACUAAUGAACCGUGAGGCUUAACC
RNAcentral lists this ribosomal RNA (1356 nucleotides) under Escherichia coli. Its description in RNAcentral is "bacterial LSU rRNA". It matches the Rfam family "Bacterial large subunit ribosomal RNA", at positions 1593 to 2925 of the family's 2925-position model. The record is from RNAcentral. Lineage: Bacteria; Pseudomonadati; Pseudomonadota; Gammaproteobacteria; Enterobacterales; Enterobacteriaceae.